UGACGCGGUACGCGAACUGGAAUAGCGGCGGAGCUUAAACCUUCGUGAUUGCGGGUUCAAAUCCCGCCUGCGUCAA
Molecule: transfer RNA, 76 nt
Filed under: Planctopirus ephydatiae
Lineage: Bacteria; Pseudomonadati; Planctomycetota; Planctomycetia; Planctomycetales; Planctomycetaceae
Description: tRNA-Leu
Rfam family: tRNA
About the family: Transfer RNA (tRNA) molecules are approximately 80 nucleotides in length. Their secondary structure includes four short double-helical elements and three loops (D, anti-codon, and T loops). Further hydrogen bonds mediate the characteristic L-shaped molecular structure. tRNAs have two regions of fundamental functional importance: the anti-codon, which is responsible for specific mRNA codon recognition, and the 3' end, to which the tRNAs corresponding amino acid is attached (by aminoacyl-tRNA synthetases). tRNAs cope with the degeneracy of the genetic code in two manners: having more than one tRNA (with a specific anti-codon) for a particular amino acid; and 'wobble' base-pairing, i.e. permitting non-standard base-pairing at the 3rd anti-codon position.
Source: RNAcentral